Molecule: ribosomal RNA, 460 nt
Filed under: uncultured bacterium
Lineage: Bacteria
Description: partial 16S ribosomal RNA
Rfam family: Bacterial small subunit ribosomal RNA
Source: RNAcentral
CCUACGGGAGGCAGCAGUGAGGAAUAUUGGUCAAUGGACGAGAGUCUGAACCAGCCAAGUAGCGUGAAGGAUGACUGCCCUAAGGGUUGUAAACUUCUUUUAUAUGGGAAUAAAAUGUUCCACGUGUGGGAUUUUGUAUGUACCAUAUGAAUAAGGAUCGGCUAACUCCGUGCCAGCAGCCGCGGUAAUACGGAGGAUCCGAGCGUUAUCCGGAUUUAUUGGGUUUAAAGGGAGCGUAGGUGGAUUGUUAAGUCAGUUGUGAAAGUUUGCGGCUCAACCGUAAAAUUGCAGUUGAAACUGGCAGUCUUGAGUACAGUAGAGGUGGGCGGAAUGCGUGGUGUAGCGGUGAAAUGCUUAGAUAUCACGAAGAACUCCGAUUGCGAAGGCAGUUCACUGGACUGCAACUGACACUGAGGCUCGAAAGUGUGGGUAUCAAACAGGAUUAGAUACCCGGGUAGUC